UAGGGAAUCUUCCGCAAUGGGCGAAAGCCUGACGGAGCAACGCCGCGUGAGUGAUGAAGGUCUUCGGAUCGUAAAACUCUGUUAUUAGGGAAGAACAAAUGUGUAAGUAACUAUGCACGUCUUGACGGUACCUAAUCAGGAAGCCACGGCUAACUACGUGCCAGCAGCCGCGGUAAUACGUAGGUGGCAAGCGUUAUCCGGAAUUAUUGGGCGUAAAGCGCGCGUAGGCGGUUUUUUAAGUCUGAUGUGAAAGCCCACGGCUCAACCGUGGAGGGUCAUUGGAAACUGGAAAACUUGAGUGCAGAAGAGGAAAGUGGAAUUCCAUGUGUAGCGGUGAAAUGCGCAGAGAUAUGGAGGAACACCAGUGGCGAAGGCGACUUUCUGGUCUGUAACUGACGCUGAUGUGCGAAAGCGUGGGGAUCAAACAGG
RNAcentral lists this ribosomal RNA (429 nucleotides) under Actinomycetes bacterium. Its description in RNAcentral is "Actinobacteria bacterium partial 16S ribosomal RNA". It matches the Rfam family "Bacterial small subunit ribosomal RNA", at positions 355 to 776 of the family's 1533-position model. The record is from RNAcentral. Lineage: Bacteria; Bacillati; Actinomycetota; Actinomycetes.